This 429-nucleotide ribosomal RNA is filed under the name Bacteroidota bacterium. RNAcentral's name for it is "Bacteroidetes bacterium partial 16S ribosomal RNA". It matches the Rfam family "Bacterial small subunit ribosomal RNA", at positions 355 to 776 of the family's 1533-position model. The record is from RNAcentral. Lineage: Bacteria; Pseudomonadati; Bacteroidota.
UAGGGAAUCUUCGGCAAUGGGGGGAACCCUGACCGAGCAACGCCGCGUGAGUGAAGAAGGUUUUCGGAUCGUAAAGCUCUGUUGUUAAGGAAGAACGAGUGAGAGAAUGGAAAGUUCAUGCUGUGACGGUAAUUAACCAGAAAGGGACGGCUAACUACGUGCCAGCAGCCGCGGUAAUACGUAGGUCCCGAGCGUUGUCCGGAUUUAUUGGGCGUAAAGCGAGCGCAGGCGGUUAGAAAAGUCUGAAGUGAAAGGCAGUGGCUCAACCAUUGUAGGCUUUGGGAACUGUUUAACUUGGGUGCAGAAGGGGAGAGUGGAAUUCCAUGUGUAGCGGUGAAAUGCGUAGAUAUAUGGAGGAACACCGGUGGCGAAAGCGGCUCUCUGGUCUGUAACUUACGCUGAGGCUCGAAAACGUGGGGAGCGAACAGG